This 478-nucleotide ribosomal RNA is filed under the name uncultured bacterium. RNAcentral describes it as "partial 16S ribosomal RNA". It matches the Rfam family "Bacterial small subunit ribosomal RNA", at positions 28 to 523 of the family's 1533-position model. The record is from RNAcentral.
GACGAACGCUGGCGGCGUGCUUAACACAUGCAAGUCGAACGGUAAGGCCCUUCGGGGUACACGAGUGGCGAACGGGUGAGUAACACGUGGGUGAUCUGCCCUGCACUUCGGGAUAAGCCUGGGAAACUGGGUCUAAUACCGGAUAGGACCACUGCCUGCAUGGGUGGUGGUGGACAGCUUUUGCGGUGUGGGUUGGGCCCGCGGCCUAUCAGCUCGUUGGUGGGGUGAUGGCCUACCAAGGCGACGACGGGUAGCCGGCCUGAGAGGGUGACCGGCCGCACUGGGACUGAGAUACGGCCCAGACUCCUACGGGAGGCAGCAGUGGGGAAUAGUGCACAAUGGGCGCAAGCCGGAUGCAGCGACGCCGCGUGAGGGAUGACGGACUUCGGGUUGUAAACCUCUUUCAGCACCGACGAAGCGCAAGUGACGGUAGGUGCAGAAGAAGGACCGGCCAACUACGUGCCAGCCGCCGCCGUAA